GAGGCAGUACCCCGCGUGAACAAUCAAACGGUCCGAUGACGGUGUUCUUUCUCAUCUACGAAAGUUUCACCCGUUCGUGAUUUGGCUUAGCGGGUGUAGUAGCACAUAUCCCUACCCGUUAAAUCAGUGGCGUCCUCUAUCUCCAGCCUGAGACCCUCUGCCGCCGCCGCCGCCGCUGCCAUCGCCUCGUCUUCCCUUCCUCCUCUCGACCUUCAGGCUCUCCUCUUCAAUGGUCGUGACGGUCCCCUCGGCUAGUGGAUCUAGCCACAAAGCCCCUUCUCUUACUCCCGUUCAUGGAGGUGAUGGCGGGAUCCGUCCUUCGGCUGGCGGCGGCUCUUCUCCCUUUGCCGGCUCUUUUUCAUGCCUCAAGCCUGUACUCAUGCCGUGGAAUCCAGAUGAUGAUAGUACCAGCCAAUACUCUUUUAUUCGGAUCAGAAGUCUGCGUACCACUAGUAUGAUCUUAUUUUAAUUUUUAUGAUGGAAGGAUCAAUAUAGUGACACAGCCUCUACUUUUGUCAAAGCUCAGUUGAUCUGCAUUUUUAUAAGUAAUCUAAUUUGAUCUCGUACCACUAGAAAGAUCGUCUUGACUUCUCUAUGCUAUGUCACAUACUCUGUCUAGAAGUAUGCAUAAAUACUCGCACAUAUGUAUGUACUGUUUUUCAUGCCUAGAUAAAAUAUCUUGAAUACAUACAUACUCUCUCUCUUCUAAACCCUCACAAAACUAUAUGCAUCAUAUUACUUUCUUUCUUUUUCAGCUAGAAGUGUUUCUAUAUACAUUGUUAGACUAGAGUAUACUACACAUAUUUUGUUUUUAAAUAGAGUAGCAAAGGAUACAUUUUCCAGGCAAGAGUAUUGGAUCAUAAGUUGUUGGAUUACAGUUUCUCUAGAUACUAGCAAAAUAACUGCAAGUUUAACUUUGACUUUCAGGUGGAAGGAUCAAUAUAGUAAAGCAGCCUCUGCCUUUGUCAAAGCUCAGUUGAUCUGUAUUUUCAUAAGUAAUCUAAAUUGAUCUCGUAAUAUUUUUUUCUUUCUGCAGGUAUGAUGUGGCCAAUCUAAUGGUGAUGUGUGAUUUCGUUGUGCUUGGUCCCCUUCUUAGAUCAUAUUGGAGUAUCACUAUACUUUUUAACAUUUAAUAUCAUUUUAUCCUUUUUCAGACUCCAGUAUGUAUAUUCCAUACUUGAUGUGGUGACUGCUACAAGCAUCCAUCUCUACAUUCUAGUUCUAUUAGUUGUGCUUGCUUGGUGCUAAAAUUAAUUAUCAAGAUGUCUCGACAAUGACAAGUCAAGAUGGCCUAAUGCAUUAUAAGAUCAUGAACGCGGACCAACUCAUCAAACAGAGGCCACACCGUGAGACCACAACAUUGCUGUAAUCAUAGAAUAUUAUUAUUAUCGGUAUUAGUUUCUGCCGAUGAGUAUGUAUUAAUACUUCCUUAUAUUCUUGUAUAUAUAUACUCAUUUUGUAAAGAUUGUACAUACAUAUAGUUCCUAAUUAAGAUGUACUGUAUUGAUACU
Molecule: long non-coding RNA, 1511 nt
Organism: Sorghum bicolor (sorghum)
Lineage: Eukaryota; Viridiplantae; Streptophyta; Magnoliopsida; Poales; Poaceae
Exons: 3
Source: RefSeq, a predicted model, not a curated record